RNAcentral lists this transfer RNA (92 nucleotides) under Fibroporia radiculosa. It matches the Rfam family "tRNA". Rfam says of the family: Transfer RNA (tRNA) molecules are approximately 80 nucleotides in length. Their secondary structure includes four short double-helical elements and three loops (D, anti-codon, and T loops). The record is from Rfam by way of RNAcentral. Lineage: Eukaryota; Fungi; Basidiomycota; Agaricomycetes; Polyporales; Fibroporiaceae.
GCCCGUUUAGCUCAGUGGUAGAGCGCGCCACUUGUAAGUCAUGGACUUGACAUGCUAUGGUGAGGUCGGUUGUUCAAUCCAGCCAAUGGGCA